GAUGAACGCUGGCGGCGUGCCUAAUACAUGCAAGUCGAGCGAACGGACGAGAAGCUUGCUUCUCUGAUGUUAGCGGCGGACGGGUGAGUAACACGUGGAUAACCUACCUAUAAGACUGGGAUAACUUCGGGAAACCGGAGCUAAUACCGGAUAAUAUUUUGAACCGCAGGGUUCAAAAGUGAAAGACGGUCUUGCUGUCACUUAUAGAUGGAUCCGCGCUGCAUUAGCUAGUUGGUAAGGUAACGGCUUACCAAGGCAACGAUGCAUAGCCGACCGGAGAGGGUGAUCGCCCACACUGGAACUGAGACACGGUCCAUACUCCUACGGGAGGCCGCAGUAGGGAAUCUUCCGCAAUGGGCGAAAGCCUGACGGAGCAACGCCGCGUGAGUGAUGAAGGUCUUCGGAUCGUAAAACUCUGUUAUUAGGGAAGAACAUAUGUGUAAGUAACUGUGCACAUCUUGACGGUACCUAAUCAGAAAGCCACGGCUAACUACGUG
Molecule: ribosomal RNA, 497 nt
Filed under: uncultured bacterium
Lineage: Bacteria
Description: partial 16S ribosomal RNA
Rfam family: Bacterial small subunit ribosomal RNA
Source: RNAcentral